CCGGCGCACGGGUGAGUAACACGUAUGCAAUCCACCUGUAACAGGGGGAUAACCCGGAGAAAUCCGGACUAAUACCCCAUAAUAUGGGCGCUCCGCAUGGAGAGCCCAUUAAAGAGAGCAAUUUUGGUUACAGACGAGCAUGCGCUCCAUUAGCCAGUUGGCGGGGUAACGGCCCACCAAAGCGACGAUGGAUAGGGGUUCUGAAAGGAAGGUCCCCCACAUUGGAACUGAGACACGGUCCAA
Molecule: ribosomal RNA, 243 nt
Filed under: uncultured bacterium
Lineage: Bacteria
Description: partial 16S ribosomal RNA
Rfam family: Bacterial small subunit ribosomal RNA
Source: RNAcentral